Molecule: ribosomal RNA, 1140 nt
Filed under: Triticum aestivum (bread wheat)
Lineage: Eukaryota; Viridiplantae; Streptophyta; Magnoliopsida; Poales; Poaceae
Description: partial small subunit ribosomal RNA
Source: RNAcentral
AUGCCUCCGCCACCCAUCACUGUUGCCGCCGGCGGUGGUCGGGGUGUGGACGAGUGCGACAUGUCCUCCGGCCGGUGGGUGUACGACGAGGAGGCGUACGCUCUGUACAAGGAGAGCGCUUGCCGGUUCAUGUCGGAGAACCUGGCGUGCGGGAGGUACGGCAGGACGGACCUCCGGUACCAGCACUGGCGGUGGCAGCCGCACGGUUGCGACCUUCCUAGGUACCGAAAAGUGAGGCUGCUGGAGAAGCUGCGCGGGAAGCAGCUGGCGUUCGUGGGCGACUCUCUGAACCGGGACCAGUGGGUGUCCAUGGUCUGCCUCAUCGACACCGCCACCCAGGGCCUCCACAAGACGCUCAUCUCCGCCGGAACCCUCGUCUCCUUCAACGUGCACGAGUACAACGCGUCGGUGGACUUCUACUGGUCGCCGCUGCUGGUGGAGUCCAACUCCGACCACCCGGUGCGCCAUCGCGUCAUAGACCGCACCGUCAACACCUCCUCCAUCCUCAACCACGCCCGGCACUGGACGUACGCCGACGUGCUCAUCUUCAACUCCUACCUCUGGUGGCGCCGCCCCUCCAUCGAAGUCCGGUGGGGGUCGUUCGAGGCACCUGCGGCGAAAGAGGACGAGUACUGCGGGGUGACCAAGGCGGUCGACGGCGUGCGCACUUUCGAGCUGGCGCUCGCGACGUGGGCCGACUGGCUCGAGUUCCACGUCGGCCGCGCACGCACCCGCCUCUUCUUCAUGACCAUGUCGCCGACUCACCUCCCCUCCGACGAGUGGGCCGACGACGCCGGCGGCGGCACCAGCCACGGGUGCUACAACGAGACGGAGCCGAUCGCUGCGGCGGAGGAGGGGGGCCGCUACCAGCGUGGCGUCACGGACCCGGCGUUCGCGCGUGCGGUAGAGGAGCAGGCGCGGCGUGGCGCGGUAGAGGAGCAGGCGCGGCGGCUGGUGAACGUGACGGCGAUGUCGGAGCGGCGCAAGGACGCGCACCCGUCGGUGCACCGGCGGCAGUGGGAGCCCAUCACGGACGCGCAGGCGAGGGACGCGAGCAGCUACGCGGACUGCAUCCACCGGUGCCUCCCCGGCGUGCCCGACGUCUGGAACCAACUCCUCUACGCGCACAUCGUCUCAUGA